This is a long non-coding RNA of Patella vulgata (common limpet), 1728 nucleotides long. RefSeq lists it as uncharacterized. The record is from RefSeq and is a predicted model, not a curated record. NCBI's taxonomy places the organism in Eukaryota, Metazoa, Mollusca, Gastropoda, Patellidae. The transcript has 7 exons.
UUUCAGAUGCUUGAUGAUGUAUGCCCACCGCAAAGAUCAACUGAUUGUUCAGUAGCUUUAUCAGAAGAAAACAAAAAUAAAAACAGAGAUCAGUCAAUACUAGCAUCGGAUAAAGCUAGACUGUGUUUAUCGAGACCAAAUACAACAGAUUAUAUCAAUGCUUUGCUUAUAUCGAGUUACACAAAGAAGGAUGCUUAUAUAUUGACCCAAACACCCUUACCAAAUACAGUGAUAGAUUUCUGGACGAUGGUUGUAGAACAAGACGUUACUACAAUAGUUAAUAUGGAUAUUACAGAAACAGGAAAGGAUAUUGGACAAUAUAUACCAGCAACUGAUGAACUGAACUGUGGACCAUAUAAUAUAAUCAAACAAGAUGAAACAGACCAUGAGAAUGGUAUUUAUUCAGUCGUUACCUGUUUAAUUAACAGUGAAUUAGAUAACAACUUAAAAAGAAGAAUCAAAAUUUAUCAGUGUAAUUUCUGGAAUCCGAAGAAAGGGGUACCAACUUCUGCCAGUCCAAUAUUUACUAUGUUAGAAGAUAUAAAAACAUGGUCUCAACGAAAUGAAGAUGGGCCUAUCAUAGUUCAUUGUCGCAAUGGUGUAGAGAAGUCGGGUGUAUUCUGUGUUCUAGCAGCUAUAUUAGAAAGAUUAACUAUAGAACAAGAUGUCAGUAUUUUACAGACUUUAGUUCAACUAAGAGUUUCUAGACCUCAGAUUAUAACAUCUUUUAAACAGUUAAAAUUUUGUUUUGAUGCAGUUGGUGAAUAUCUAGAUGGGUUUUCUGUUUAUGCCAAUUCCUGCUAAUAUAUAUCUCAACACCUGUUAAUAUUGCCGCUAAUUCUUGCUAAUGUUUAUAUUAGAGGGUUUAACGUUCUACUGUUCUGCUCCGAACUGGUGGGCUAAUGAAGACGGGCAUAUGCCAUACAGUGUGUUAUGAGGGAAAUUUUGCCCGGACAAAUUCUGCACUACGGCCUACUCUUAUAUCGAAUUCCAACUGUCAAGGGGUAUUUUACGUACACGCCAAUGUGUACACCGGACCUCGGUUUUUCGUCCCAUCCGAAGGACUAGACAACUGUCCUGCAUUCCGGUGAACUUUCUCGGCCAAUGUAGGGAUCGAACACCAGACUUCCAGGCUAGCGAGCCAGCGUCUUAACCACUUCCUUAUCUUGCACACGUGUGGGAUCGAUUCCACGCCGUUUGACUCAACGAAAAGCUUUAAAAUCGCGUAAGACCAAACUAAGCCGAUCUCACCCACCAAGUCCAGACAGAACCGCCAAAACUCUAUCAUAUUUAUGAGAGUUUCCGGCUUUCUUCAUCGAUAUCAGUUCAAUCCAAUUUUGACCUAAUUUUGCUUCGUUAAGCCCAAUUAAUUUACGCCAUAGUGGUACACAUAUGAAUGGAACUUAUAUCAGAUGACAUGAAAAUCAUUUAAAUUUUACGCUAAUAAUUCAUGAUAUUAAUAUCUUCAUCCUCUCCGUUCAAUGUAUAUUUUUUUUUCUAUUGCAUAUUGCUAAUCGAUAAUCAAGACUAUUAUGUUAAGAACAAUCAACCAGUGGAAUUAAUCUGUAUUGAUUAUAGUAAAUAUGUGUAAGACCCACCGCUAAUUCUUGCUAAUGUUUAUAUUAGAGAAACGCAUAAUAUAUUAUUUAUUUUUAUAUGGAGUAUUGUUUUAAAAUAUCAUAUAAUUUAUACACCACAUACAUACAUACAUACAUACAUACAUACAUA